GCGAGUUGAUGCCCUAAUGGGUAGAUCUCCCACCCUUGAAUAACAUACCUUUGUUGCUUUGGCGGUUGCGUCUUCGCGACGCCCGCCAGAGAACCCUAAACUCUGAAUUACAGUGUCGUCUGAGUACUAUAUAAUAGUUA
Molecule: unclassified non-coding RNA, 140 nt
Filed under: uncultured Helotiales
Lineage: Eukaryota; Fungi; Ascomycota; Leotiomycetes; Helotiales
Description: sequence contains ITS1
Source: RNAcentral